AACAAGUUUGCCGGUUGGAUCAUGAAAACUAGUUUCGGGUUUAGGGUUUCUGCGGUUUAGGGUUUAGGGUUUAGGGUACAGGGUUUGCGCGACGAAUAAACGUGUUUGGUCGCACAAAGCCUGCCAAGGCCGGCUUUGCGCGACGAAUACAAGACUUGUCGUCGCGCCAUACCAGCAAUAACUUUCACAUUUCACUCUCUUCCUCCUUGGACACUCAGCGGAAAUUUUUUUGCGAGGUCUUGCGCGACGAAGUGAUUUCAAUUCGUCGCGCCAUACCAGCCAGAACUUUCACAUUUCACUGUCUUCCUCCUUCAACACUUAGCGGAAUUUUUUUUGCGAGGUCUUGAGCGACGAAGUGGGUUCAAUUCGUCGCGCCAUACCAGCCAGAACUUUC
This 394-nucleotide long non-coding RNA is filed under the name Prunus persica (peach). Its description in RNAcentral is "long non-coding RNA (PPER_LNC000732)". Lineage: Eukaryota; Viridiplantae; Streptophyta; Magnoliopsida; Rosales; Rosaceae. The record is from RNAcentral.